RNAcentral lists this ribosomal RNA (753 nucleotides) under uncultured Actinomycetes bacterium. Its description in RNAcentral is "bacterial SSU rRNA". It matches the Rfam family "Bacterial small subunit ribosomal RNA", at positions 41 to 803 of the family's 1533-position model. Lineage: Bacteria; Bacillati; Actinomycetota; Actinomycetes. The record is from RNAcentral.
GGCGUGCUUAACACAUGCAAGUCGAACGAUGAAAGCUGGAGCUUGCUUUAGCUGGAUUAGUGGCGAACGGGUGAGUAACACGUGAGCAAUCUGCCCCUGACUCUGGGAUAACUUCGAGAAAUCGAAGCUAAUACCGGAUACGACCCUUCCAGGCAUCUGGUGAGGGUGGAAAGAACUUCGGUCAGGGAUGAGCUCGCGGCCUAUCAGCUAGUUGGUGAGGUAAUGGCUCACCAAGGCGACGACGGGUAGCCGGCCUGAGAGGGUGACCGGCCACACUGGGACUGAGACACGGCCCAGACUCCUACGGGAGGCAGCAGUGGGGAAUAUUGNACAAUGGGCGCAAGCCUGAUGCAGCAACGCCGCGUGAGGGACGAAGGCCUUCGGGUUGUAAACCUCUUUUAGCAGGGAAGAAGCGAAAGUGACGGUACCUGCAGAAAAAGCGCCGGCUAACUACGUGCCAGCAGCCGCGGUAAUACGUAGGGCGCAAGCGUUGUCCGGAAUUAUUGGGCGUAAAGAGCUCGUAGGCGGUUUGUCGCGUCUGCUGUGAAAAUCCGAGGCUCAACCUCGGACCUGCAGUGGGUACGGGCAAACUAGAGUGCGGUAGGGGAGAUUGGAAUUCCUGGUGUAGCGGUGGAAUGCGCAGAUAUCAGGAGGAACACCAAUGGCGAAGGCAGAUCUCUGGGCCGUAACUGACGCUGAGGAGCGAAAGCGUGGGGAGCGAACAGGAUUAGAUACCCUGGUAGUCCACGCCGU